Molecule: ribosomal RNA, 493 nt
Filed under: uncultured Acholeplasma sp.
Lineage: Bacteria; Bacillati; Mycoplasmatota; Mollicutes; Acholeplasmatales; Acholeplasmataceae
Description: bacterial SSU rRNA
Rfam family: Bacterial small subunit ribosomal RNA
Source: RNAcentral
GCCCGCUACAGAAACUACAAAGGAAUUGACGGGACCCCCGCACAAGCGGUGGAUCAUGUUGUUUAAUUCGAUGAUACGCGAAGAACCUUACCAGGUCUUGACAUCCCCCGCGAUGCUUUAGAGAUAAAGCGGAGGUAUUCGGGGAGACAGGUGGUGCAUGGUUGUCGUCAGCUCGUGUCGUGAGAUGUUGGGUUAAGUCCCGCAACGAGCGCAACCCCUAUUGCUAGUUACCAUCAUUAAGUUGGGGACUCUAGCGAGACUGCCAGUGAUAAACUGGAGGAAGGUGGGGAUGACGUCAAAUCAUCAUGCCCCUUAUGACCUGGGCUACAAACGUGAUACAAUGGCUGGAACAAAGGGAUGCGAAGCAGUGAUGUGGAGCGAAACCCAUAAAAACAGUCUCAGUUCGGAUUGAAGUCUGCAACUCGACUUCAUGAAGUCGGAAUCGCUAGUAAUCGCGGAUCAGAACGCCGCGGUGAAUACGUUCUCGGGGUUU